GGCCAUGUCGGCCACCGGGAUGAGGUGGCCCGGCGCGACAAACGGGAAGAAGAGAAGGUGUAGUGGCCGUUGCUCAUCGUUGGAUGCCAUGGCUGCUUGCUUGGCACUUGGCAGCGCCCUUCUUCCUCGGAACACAGACAGCUACGCAGGUCAGAUCCCCUUCUUCCUCGGAAAAUUGGAUAUAUUCCUUUAUUUGCCCGGGAUGUCGAAGCAGUUACAGUCCCGUAUGCAUCAUCUGCUGCAGGAUAUAAGACGAAUCAGAAGAAAUCGAAAGGAAAUGGAGAAGAGAACACGAAUCCGGAGAAAACCUACCAUCACUUGACAGAACAGAGCUGGGAAAGUCUUGGCACCCCUGGGCUUCGGUGGCGUCCUCUGAGCCGGAUUGAAUUUGAG
RNAcentral lists this long non-coding RNA (393 nucleotides) under Setaria italica (foxtail millet). RNAcentral describes it as "long non-coding RNA (SITA_LNC002259)". The record is from RNAcentral. Lineage: Eukaryota; Viridiplantae; Streptophyta; Magnoliopsida; Poales; Poaceae.